AUAUGCAGUAGACAUACAGGGAAUAUCAGCAUACUUCUUUCCAGGUUGUUUUUUAAUCAUACCUUUGAGCUUAUUAAGCUCGGAAGAGAUUAUAAUGCCAGGAUUUUCAGCAGAAUCAAUAUUCUCAGCAAAAUUAGACUCAAGAUUUUGUACAAAAUCAUCAGAAAUAUUUAGGGGUUGAAUGUUUAAACGAGAGAAUUUUUUAUCUAAGAGUUUCUCUAAUUGGUCUAAUUGAGAAACCUUUUCAAAUCCGUCUAUUUCAGGAGGUCUUUGAAU
Molecule: long non-coding RNA, 276 nt
Filed under: Capsicum annuum
Lineage: Eukaryota; Viridiplantae; Streptophyta; Magnoliopsida; Solanales; Solanaceae
Description: long non-coding RNA (CANN_LNC016100)
Source: RNAcentral